Molecule: long non-coding RNA, 2216 nt
Organism: Mustela erminea (ermine)
Lineage: Eukaryota; Metazoa; Chordata; Mammalia; Carnivora; Mustelidae
Exons: 3
Source: RefSeq, a predicted model, not a curated record
UGAUUCCAUUUCAAACUUGCCAACACACGUUCACUCCAAUGCCAUCAGCUGUGGGAAUGGGUCUGAGUGGCAGUGGGCACCAACAGACGUGGGGAGGGCACAGACUCCCUGCUCGGUGAUCCUGGGUAGCUGCCCCUGUCCUUACAGACACCCUCAGAGAUAACCAGGUUUAUCAAUAUUGACCUAAAAAUCUCUUGCUAAAUGUGGUUAAAAGAUUUUCUUUUUUUUAAAUCAUAACUCUUCUAGUUCAUCAUUUAAGUCAGCUGCUUGUUUCCAAGGGGAACUAACAUGGGGAUAGUUCGGGAACACGGAGGGAACCUACAAAUGAGCCGAACAGCUGCCUUGCCCCGGGCGUGGGGCCUCCCCUCACCAGACGGGAUUCAGCUCACGCCCACAGCCAGGACUCGCUGGCACUGCCGGCAGACCGCUACCGUCCGCAGGCUCCACGCAGGCUAAUCUAGAACCCCGCAGUCCAGAAAGGUGACCACAGUCUAAACAGUACAGUUUCCAAGGAAGCACUGAAUGUUACCUACAGAGCCCAGGUGUCAGCUGAAAAGUGAUGGACGAAAAGGGGAUUAAGUGAAGGUAACAGACUCCUCUAGACUUAAUUACUGUCCACCACCAACAGGGCAUGUCAGGAGUCUGGGUGAAUUUGGGGUAGAGUUCAAAAGAGUUCCCACCUUUCUCUAUGGUGAUGUAAAAUGAGUGCAUAAAUAUACGUGGGGGGGUGUAAGACAAGGAGAGGGCUGACAGAUGGCAGGAGUCUGUCUGCCAGGAGAUCUGCAUUUGAACCCUUGGCUGUAGAGGAUAAGGACGACUAUGGAAAGGUCUCAGUAAAACGAAGAUUUUAGCUGUGCUUCAUAAAAUGUUGCUUUUGCAUUUGUCUUCCUCAAACAAGCAAUACUGAUUUAAUAGCUCAUAAUCUUCCAAUCUAUUCAAAGGGCAGACCGUACCUCCGACACAGCUAAGCAGAGCAGAAUCCCCACCCCCCGCCGUCCCUGUGUCGAGCUUCGAUGACCCCCAGGUAGAGCUCACCUGGAAGACGAUUCUGAACCACUGCGCGUUUCCAUAGGUACCGACAAGCCGCCUACAGCAGAGGAGGUACAAUCCACCCUCAGGAGAUUCUCCAGCAAACUGCUCGACCUCAGAAGCGCCAGAAGUCAGGGAGAAAAAGUUAAGUGUUUCUUCUUCUGUGAAGCCAUUUCUGAAGAAGAGCCUCUAAAAUCUUACCAACCCACAGCCAGGUCUGCUGAUGUGGGACUCUACACGGACCACCGACUAACAGCUCACACGGGAGCUGACCUAGCGGAGCAGAGCGGAGGCUACCAAUCACAGCAGUAAAAGUGUGCCUUCGUAGCUGUUGCCAGCAGCCGGAAGGGCCUGGGAGAUCACAGUGACCAUGACUCACAUUGGACAGACAGAACACUGAGGCCUGGAAGACAACAUCCUUAUCUGACAUCCAAGAUCCUGGCAAAGCUUUCCUGCACUUCCUAAGAUGCAAAAUCCUCUUACCACUGGCCGUCACCACUCAGCUUGGGAUGGACCAGAAGAACCCACACCACCUUCUGUCCCCUCACUAACACGUUGAUUCAUUCAUCUGAGUCUCAGGCUAAGUUCUAAGGCCUUGAAAAUUUAAGGACACAAUGUUUGAUUCCUCAGAACUUUCUAGAAAGUCCAGUUUAAUAACGGUAACACCUAUGUUAAGUCAUGGGGUGAGAACCUGGGAAGACUUCAGAGGUAGCUUUUGGCUUGGAAAGUGAGUAGAAAGACGUUUGCUCUGAGGAAAGCACACGGAGGGGGCACUUCAGGUCAUUGGGGUCCGAAAGAUCAUGGUUCAGGGUGACUGCGGGUAACAGGUAAGGGACGAGGGGCCAGGCAGGUGAUCACAAUAACAAAAACUAACCAUUCCAAGCAUUUACGUGCCACAACGAUGAGGCUGAAUAAGCGGGGGCCAGCUGAACCCGGACUAGACGGUCUGCUGCCGAGUUAAUGGGGAGCCACGGAGCCCACAAUCUGGGGGGACGGAGGCAGCAACAGGCAGGCCCAAAGGAAAGAUGUGCAGGGACUUCAACAAGAACAGAGGCAGGACGGGGCGUGGGAAGGAAGGGACCUGACCAGACUAAAUGGGCUGAAUGUAUCAGAGGUAAAAUGAACUGGUCGUCAUUGUUACUGGAGAGAACAAACAAGGUCUGUGGUCCUGGAAAAUUCAAUAAAUA